RNAcentral lists this ribosomal RNA (253 nucleotides) under uncultured bacterium. RNAcentral's name for it is "partial 16S ribosomal RNA". It matches the Rfam family "Bacterial small subunit ribosomal RNA", at positions 524 to 776 of the family's 1533-position model. The record is from RNAcentral.
UACGUAGGGGGCUAGCGUUGUCCGGAAUCAUUGGGCGUAAAGCGCGUGUAGGCGGUUCGGUAAGUCCGCUGUGAAAGUCGGGGGCUCAACCCUCGGAAGCCGGUGGAUACUGUCGGGCUAGAGUACGGAAGAGGCGAGUGGAAUUCCUGGUGUAGCGGUGAAAUGCGCAGAUAUCAGGAGGAACACCGGUGGCGAAGGCGGAUCUCUGGGCCUUACCUGACGCUCAGGCGCGAAAGCUAGGGGAGCGAACAGG